GACAGAGGUUGCAAACGUUGUUCGGAAUCACUGGGCAUAAAGCGCACGUAGGCGGUCUACUAAGUCAGUUGUGAAAGCCCCCGGCUCAACCGGGGAACAGCAUCUGAUACUGGCAGACUCGAGGAUGGUAGGGGUGAGUGGAACUCCAGGUGGAGCGGUGAAAUGCGUAGAUAUCUGGAGGAACACCGGUGGCGAAAGCGGCUCACUGGACCAUAACUGACGCUGAGGUGCGAAAGCUAGGGUAGCAAACGGGAUUAGAUACCCCCGUAGUCC
This 273-nucleotide ribosomal RNA is filed under the name uncultured bacterium. RNAcentral describes it as "partial 16S ribosomal RNA". It matches the Rfam family "Bacterial small subunit ribosomal RNA", at positions 524 to 796 of the family's 1533-position model. The record is from RNAcentral.